This is a long non-coding RNA of Lolium rigidum, 459 nucleotides long. RefSeq lists it as uncharacterized. The transcript has 5 exons. Lineage: Eukaryota; Viridiplantae; Streptophyta; Magnoliopsida; Poales; Poaceae. The record is from RefSeq and is a predicted model, not a curated record.
GUCAACCAGAGAUUGCUAAUGGUGUCGCCUGCUUGUUCGCGGCGCCCCCAGCGGUGCGAAUCAACAACGGAGGAGGCCAUGGAAGAGAGGAAGGAGGCAUGGAUAUGUUGUGCCAAGUAGAUGCAGUCAGCGAUAGAGCGCUAGCUGUAGUCGACGACUGAGCCGGACAGGUGGAUCCCCUCCCCUGUCUCGGUAUCUCUCAACUUGGGACUUCUCCACCGUGGAUAGCGGCCAAGUUUCUUCUAUGUGUUGGUGAUAUUAGUCAUGUCCUCGAUGCUUGGAAGAUAUAUAGCGAUCUGUGGGGGUAGCAGCCAGAUUUCUGCGAGCUAGGCUUUGGAUGUCCAGGAGUUUCUUACACCCCAGCAUUAGUGUUCGUGGAGUCCAUCGUUGUUGCAGCUGGUAUAUUAUCUCGCAACAACCGAGAUGAACCAUUCUUCAUCGCUUUAGUGGCCUUAAGCA